Molecule: ribosomal RNA, 486 nt
Filed under: uncultured bacterium
Lineage: Bacteria
Description: partial 16S ribosomal RNA
Rfam family: Bacterial small subunit ribosomal RNA
Source: RNAcentral
AUUGAACGCUGGCGGCAUGCCUUACACAUGCAAGUCGAACGGCAGCACGGGUGCUUGCACCUGGUGGCGAGUGGCGAACGGGUGAGUAAUACAUCGGAACAUGUCCUGUAGUGGGGGAUAGCCCGGCGAAAGCCGGAUUAAUACCGCCUACGAUCUACGGCUGAAAGCGGGGGACCUUCGGGCCUCGCGCUAUAGGGUUGGCCGAUGGCGGAUUAGCUAGUUGGUGGGGUAAAGGCCUACCAAGGCGACGAUCAGUAGCUGGUCUGAGAGGACGACCAGCCACACUGGGACUGAGACACGGCCCAGACUCCUACGGGAGGCAGCAGUGGGGAAUUUUGGACAAUGGGCGAAAGCCUGAUCCAGCAAUGCCGCGUGUGUGAAGAAGGCCUUCGGGUUGUAAAGCACUUUUGUCCGGAAAGAAAUCCUUGGCCCUAAUACGGUCGGGGGAUGACGGUACCGGAAGAAUAAGCACCGGCUAACUACGUG